AGUAUCGGCUUCACACUAGAAGACCAAGCCCAAGCCCA
RNAcentral lists this small RNA (38 nucleotides) under Arabidopsis thaliana (thale cress). Its description in RNAcentral is "ATSL080480". Lineage: Eukaryota; Viridiplantae; Streptophyta; Magnoliopsida; Brassicales; Brassicaceae. The record is from RNAcentral.